Molecule: long non-coding RNA, 2510 nt
Filed under: Trifolium pratense (red clover)
Lineage: Eukaryota; Viridiplantae; Streptophyta; Magnoliopsida; Fabales; Fabaceae
Description: long non-coding RNA (TPRA_LNC013666)
Source: RNAcentral
UGGGGCACUAGUUAAACAUACUAAAACAGGAAACAAAUGAUAAAAUUAAUGAUGAGAGAGAAUAACUUUUCACAUCAUUAAAACAUUGAAUGCACAAUUUACGAGAUAAAAUUUAUAUAUUUAUAUCCUUAAGACACUGUUUAGCAUUUUCAAAAAAAAAAAAUCAAUUGUCAGCAAACUUUUCCUCUUCUCUCACGUCAAAAACAACAACACUAGACACAAGUGGGACCAAGUGACCAAUCUAUUUCUUCACAAUUUCAUUUUCCUGAAACUGUCAGGAAGCAAAAGCUUCUUCUUCCUCUUCUCACGCCAGCCAUCAUCAUCAACACAAGUUCCUCACUUCACUCAUCCAAAUUAACAUGUAAUCCUGUUUUUAGAUUCACAAUAGUUAUUUGAACAAGGUGAAUGUCUCAUUUCUUCCUCUUAACCCUCCAUGGCCGAAAUGCAUCUUCCAUGACCAAGUCUUGUUUUUUUUUUUUCUAAUUGAAGCUUGAAAGCAUGGAUUUCUGUCAGUUUGAGACCUUUAGAUAUCAUAAAUCAAGGAUUAAGCCUUUGGGUGCAUAGAAAAUAAGGUAUGGUUAGUGAUUCAUACUUUUGUUUCCAAUUUGAGAAUUAACCCUAACACCCAAUCCUCAUCUAUUCCAACUUUUGAUUGUUGCAUGUGAGUUUUAUUGAUUCAAGGAUUGUUGGGUACAAAAAUGAAAGCUUGAAGAUUAGAACGGUAGGAAUUUGUACAAAUCGUAUUUGGGACAGGGUUGUACUAAAACGGUAAGAUCUCCCUCUCUGUACCUCUAAAUUCGGUGGUUCUUAAUGUUCUGGUUAGCUAACGAAAAUAUCUUUAUCUGGGUGCAAAUCUUGUGGAAUUUGGAGCUAUAAUGAAGACAUGAGACGAUUCUGAAGUUGUGGGUUAGAAACUGAUUUUGUGCAGAAUUGGAUACUGCUGAUUGGUAUCUGCUGACCUGCUACUGCUUGUUGGUUUUCCCCCCUCCUUUGAGUUACGUUCAGCCCAUGAUAAGAACAAUAAAACCCUCUUAGUUCCUCUGAUUAGCCUUUUCUCUUAUUGGGUAGAGUCUAAUAGCUUCAUCUAUCCUUAUUAUGUGUUGCUUGUGAGUACUACGGAAGCAAAGUUUUGGGUACUGAUGUUGAAACUGGACAUAAAGGAACCGAAGGAAGUUUAAGAGCUAAAAGGAUGGACUAGAAGAUCGGAUUUGUUGUUGUACAAGAUGAAAUUGGAGAAACUACCGUGCUCAAGCUUUCUCAUCACUUUUGAGGUGGGUUCCUUUAGAAGCUUAACUUUUAGAUUAGUUAGCACCUUUAGUUUUCCCAAAUUCAAUAUAUGUAUGAUAACAUUAGUAUUAGUUAGGAAAUUAGUCUCCCCAAAAUUAUGCAUGACAACAAUAGGAAAAAUUAGGAUAUAAUUGUGUGAGAAGGUUUAAUCCCAAAACCAUCUCCAUUCUUUUUUUUUUUNNNNNNNNNNNNNNNNNNNNNNNUUUUUUUUUUUUGGUUAGUUACAAAAACCAUCUCCAUUCUAAUUAUAUAAUAAUAUUUUAGUUGCUUAUGACUGGACAUGAAUGAGAUUGUAGGUGGAAACUGAUAAACUCUUUUAAAAGUAAAAAGCCGAGAAUUGAACUGGUAUUCUCGCAUAGCGAACAUCUUGUUCGCUAAGCGAGCGUAUCAGAUCAGGACUUUGUAGAAUCAACAUUUUAAAUAAAAAUCCACUUGUUUUAUGUCCCUGACUAUUCUGGAAUAUUUCGUAAGCAGCGUAAUAAUUUUAUGUGAUUAGAAUGUUUAUCACGCUCAGGAACUUAGGUUCAGGAAUCAGGACAGUUAGAAUUACCCCGGGAAGGUUUUCUUUCUUUUGGGUAGGAUAACCAUUCAAGAUUAGGAAUUAUGUUUCAGAAUUUAUCAGGAUGUUUGGUCAUUAUUACCAAUAUCAGGAAGCGUGGUCAUUAGUACCAUGUCAUGGGAUUCAUUCAGAAUCCAAAAUCAUGUAAUAAGAACUGUAAGCUCAUGUUGUAUUCCGACGUACAUUAUUAUCGGUAAUACCAGGCCAGGCACUCCGGGACUGGCUUACCCCGGGGUGAUCCUGUUAUGAUAAAAUUGACAAGAUAAUUAUUAUGUGUGUUACACCUUUAUUGCUUUAUUAUCACAUUAUAAAAACUUCAGGAUUAUGUCAUGAUUAGACUAUUAGAUAUUCAGGUUCAGGUUAAAGUUAGAAACUAUUAGUUUCAGUUGCCCCGGUGUAGUCACCAGUAGUUGGGUAGUAGGAGCUCACUGAGGCUUAGUAGUCUCAUCCCACAACUUCCAAUUUUUUUUAGGUAAACAGGUUAACCGGAGCAAGGACCAGGCAGGAACUGAUGAUCGAGGUUGAGCUUGGAUUAUCGGAUUAGAAGACUAUCGUCUUCUUCUUUGUUUUUAUGUUAAUCUGUUAAGUUAGAAUUUAGUUCUCUUCCGCUAUAUUGUACCAGAUUAUCACGUUAUUCAUGUGAUAUCUUGUAAUUCAAUUAAUU